UACGUAGGGGGCAAGCGUUGUCCGGAAUCAUUGGGCGUAAAGCGCGCGUAGGCGGCCCGGUAAGUCCGCUCUGAAAGUCACAGGCUCAACCUGUGAAAGCGGGUGGAUACUGCCGGACUAGAGUACGGAAGAGGCGAGUGGAAUUCCUGGUGUAGCGGUGGAAUGCGCAGAUAUCAGGAGGAACACCAAUAGCGAAGGCAGCUCGCUGGGACGUUACUGACACGUGAGGCGCGAAAGCGUGGGGAGCGAACAGG
This 254-nucleotide ribosomal RNA is filed under the name uncultured bacterium. RNAcentral describes it as "partial 16S ribosomal RNA". It matches the Rfam family "Bacterial small subunit ribosomal RNA", at positions 524 to 776 of the family's 1533-position model. The record is from RNAcentral.